GGUGGUUCUUGGGUGACACACCCCGGAAUUGGGUUCCCUCUUCUUUGGUUCUAGGUGUGUCACCCGAGAACCGCA
This is a non-coding RNA of Myotis brandtii (Brandt's bat), 75 nucleotides long. NCBI's taxonomy places the organism in Eukaryota, Metazoa, Chordata, Mammalia, Chiroptera, Vespertilionidae. The record is from Rfam.